GCUAAUACAUGCAAGUCGAGCGGACAGAAGGGAGCUUGCUCCCGGAUGUUAGCGGCGGACGGGUGAGUAACACGUGGGUAACCUGCCUGUAAGACUGGGAUAACUCCGGGAAACCGGAGCUAAUACCGGAUAGUUCCUUGAACCGCAUGGUUCAAGGAUGAAAGACGGUUUCGGCUGUCACUUACAGAUGGACCCGCGGCGCAUUAGCUAGUUGGUGGGGUAAUGGCUCACCAAGGCGACGAUGCGUAGCCGACCUGAGAGGGUGAUCGGCCACACUGGGACUGAGACACGGCCCAGACUCCUACGGGAGGCAGCAGUAGGGAAUCUUCCGCAAUGGACGAAAGUCUGACGGAGCAACGCCGCGUGAGUGAUGAAGGUUUUCGGAUCGUAAAGCUCUGUUGUUAGGGAAGAACAAGUGCGAGAGUAACUGCUCGCACCUUGACGGUACCUAACCAGAAAGCCACGGCUAACUACGUGCCAGCAGCCGCGGUAAUACGUAGGUGGCAAGCGUUGUCCGGAAUUAUUGGGCGUAAAGGGCUCGCAGGCGGUUUCUUAAGUCUGAUGUGAAAGCCCCCGGCUCAACCGGGGAGGGUCAUUGGAAACUGGGAAACUUGAGUGCAGAAGAGGAGAGUGGAAUUCCACGUGUAGCGGUGAAAUGCGUAGAGAUGUGGAGGAACACCAGUGGCGAAGGCGACUCUCUGGUCUGUAACUGACGCUGAGGAGCGAAAGCGUGGGGAGCGAACAGGAUUAGAUACCCUGGUAGUCCACGCCGUAACGAUGAGUGCUAAGUGUUUAGGGGGUUUUCCGCCCCCUUAGUGCUGCAGCCUAACUCAUUAAGCACUUCCGCCUGGGAAGUUA
RNAcentral lists this ribosomal RNA (858 nucleotides) under Bacillus sp. EN-B7. Its description in RNAcentral is "bacterial SSU rRNA". It matches the Rfam family "Bacterial small subunit ribosomal RNA", at positions 46 to 883 of the family's 1533-position model. Lineage: Bacteria; Bacillati; Bacillota; Bacilli; Caryophanales; Bacillaceae. The record is from RNAcentral.